UACAACUUUCAGCAACGGAUCUCUUGGCUCUCGCAUCGAUGAAGAACGCAGCGAAUCGCGAUAAGUAAUGUGAAUUGCAGAUUUCCAGUGAAUCAUCGAAUCUUUGAACGCACCUUGCGCUCUCUGGUAUUCCGGAGAGCAUGCCUGUUUGAGUGUCAU
Molecule: ribosomal RNA, 159 nt
Filed under: Strobilomyces seminudus
Lineage: Eukaryota; Fungi; Basidiomycota; Agaricomycetes; Boletales; Boletaceae
Description: 5.8S ribosomal RNA
Rfam family: 5.8S ribosomal RNA
About the family: 5.8S ribosomal RNA (5.8S rRNA) is a component of the large subunit of the eukaryotic ribosome. It is transcribed by RNA polymerase I as part of the 45S precursor that also contains 18S and 28S rRNA. Functionally, it is thought that 5.8S rRNA may be involved in ribosome translocation.
Source: RNAcentral